Long non-coding RNA from Phoenix dactylifera (date palm), 1542 nucleotides. RefSeq lists it as uncharacterized. The record is from RefSeq and is a predicted model, not a curated record. NCBI's taxonomy places the organism in Eukaryota, Viridiplantae, Streptophyta, Magnoliopsida, Arecales, Arecaceae.
UCCGCCUCCGCCCUCUCCUCCCCUGUGCCGACAACUUCGGCCUCCCCGUCGACGGCGACCGUGGUGGCUCGACGGGUCCUGGGAACCAAGGUUGAACGGAAGAGCUCAUAAAGAGAUCGGAUCCUCUGCUCUACCGAGUGCAUUUACAGUUGUUGGAAAGUAGAAGCAGUUGAACAUCUAAGUAUUAGAGAUUAUUUUGAUAAAUCUGACUCAGCAAAAGUUGCUAUUGUAAGUUUGUAACUUUGGGACAAAGCAAGAAAAUUCAUCUGGAGAUUGCCAAGCAAAAGAAAAAUCAUCUUGAUGUAUGCAAUGCUGUUUUUAUUUUUAUUCAAUAAUAGUCUAAUAGCCAUCACCGGAGGGACAAGAGGUGAAGAUAUUAGGUGUUCAGUUGGUCUGAUGAUCUGGGUCUGUGAUUCUUGGUUGUAGUUCUAUUGGCCUGGCUUCGUUUGUUAGGGACGCAUGGAGUUGGUGCAAGCAACUGGUACUUGAUAUUCUUGGUUGUAUGCAAUGCUGUUCAGCUCUUUGCUAUUGCUCUCUUGUGCCAGAUAUGAACUUAAAUUGUGAUUUGAAGUUGGUGCAGGCAAAUGGUACUUGAUCUAUUUGAUCACAUAACUUUUGUCCCCUUAUAUUGAGGUACCAAACUCUUUUCUCUCCUUAUCUUUUCAUUAAUUUUCUGCCAUCUAUUAUCGCAACUUUUCUGCGAUGCGGACUCUUUGAUUUGUAUUAAUCAAGUUGUAUGAAUCAACUUUUUUGCGAUACAGGCUCUUUUCUGCGAUUUUUGUCAGUGUUUAUAUUCUUGUGAUUGAAAACUGACUAUCUAUUCUCUUCACCAUUUUUACAGUAAGUUACAGAGUGAUGUUUUGAGGGAAGCAAUCUCUCAGAUUGCAAAUGAUUCUCGGGAGAAGAAGCGCAAUUUUACUGAAACCAUUGAGCUACAAAUUGGUCUGAAAAACUAUGACCCCCAAAAAGAUAAGCAUUUCAGUAGAUCUUAUGUUUACGUAAUAUAAUUUUUAAUGGCAAACAUCAUACAAAUAACUUGCCCAAUGCAUUUGAAUUCAGGGCCUGGUUGUUCUUCUAUUGGCUAUGGAGAGGCAGAGGAACUUGGACCUUUCUUAAUACAAAAAGGUGUGCCAGAGCUCAAAUUCAACAAGCAUUCUUGGAAUCGGAGGAAUUGCGACUCAUCACUCGCCUAUAGGCCCUAUACUGACAGAGAAAAUAGGGCUUGACUAUAUGGAUGUUGAAGCACUAAAAAAAUGAACAAAAACAAGAAGCUGGUCAAAAAGCUUGCUAAGAAGUACCAUGCUUUCCUAGCAUCAGAGGCGAUCAUGUAUAUUGACAUUAGUUCUAUAUGAAGCAGAUUUUCUUUUCGGGCUAUUCCAUAUGUAAAUUUGGAUGAUUUGACUUGUAUUCCUUGUCUUUGUAAAGAUUAAAUAUUUUUUGAAUAUUGCUGGUAUUAGAUGAAUGAAUAAAUAACUUGUAUUCCUUAUGUUCAGCUUUUUGUAAAGAUUGAAUGCUUUUUUAAUGUCAAUGAUGUUGGGACAA